CCUACGGGGGACAGCAGUGGGGAAUAUUGGGCAAUGGGCGCAAGCCUGACGCAGCAACGCCGCGUGAAGGAAGAAGGCCUUCGGGUUGUAAACUACUUUUGUCAGGGACGAAGAAAGUGACGGUACCUGACGUAUAAGCCACGGCUAACUACGUGCCAGCAGCCGCGGUAAUACGUAGGUGGCAAGCGUUAUCCGGAUUUACUGGGUGUAAAGGGCGUGUAGGCGGGGGGGCAAGUCAGACGUGAAAUUCCCGGGCUCAACCCUGGAACUGCAUCUGAAACUGUUCUUCUUGAGUGUUGGAGAGGAAAGCGGAAUUCCUGGUGUAGCGGUGAAAUGCGUAGAUAUACGGAGGAACACCAGUGGCGAAGGCGGCCUGCUGGACAUUAACUGACGCUGAGGCGCGAAAGCGUGGGGAGCAAACAGGAUUAGAUACCCUAGUAGUC
This 443-nucleotide ribosomal RNA is filed under the name uncultured bacterium. RNAcentral describes it as "partial 16S ribosomal RNA". It matches the Rfam family "Bacterial small subunit ribosomal RNA", at positions 338 to 795 of the family's 1533-position model. The record is from RNAcentral.